CCUCGGUUUGCACGCUCUCUCG
This 22-nucleotide microRNA is filed under the name Pristionchus pacificus. RNAcentral's name for it is "ppc-miR-8364l-5p". The record is from miRBase by way of RNAcentral. Lineage: Eukaryota; Metazoa; Nematoda; Chromadorea; Rhabditida; Neodiplogasteridae.